This is a non-coding RNA of Sesamum indicum (sesame), 397 nucleotides long. Lineage: Eukaryota; Viridiplantae; Streptophyta; Magnoliopsida; Lamiales; Pedaliaceae. The record is from RefSeq and is a predicted model, not a curated record.
CUCCACUCCUGGUGGUGCCGGAAAUUCCUUUGUGUUUCAGCCUUGCGACCAUACUACCCCCGAAACCCAAAGACUUCGAUUUCUCAUAAGGUGCCGGCGGAGUCCUAAAAGCAACAUCGGCCGAUCCCUGGUCGGCGUCGUUUAUGGUUGAGACUAGUACGGUAUCUGAUCGUCUUCAACCCCCCAAGUUUCGUCCUUGAUUAAUGAAAACAUCCUUGGUAAAUGCUUUUGCAUUUGUUUGUCUUUCAUAAAUCCAAGAAUUUCACCUCUGACUAUGAAAUACGAAUGCCCCUAACUGUGACUGUCCCUUCCUGUUAAUCAUUACUGCGAUCCCGAAGGCCAACGUAAUAGGACCGAAAUCCUAUAAUGUUAUCCUAUGCUAAUGUAUACCGAAUGG